RNAcentral lists this ribosomal RNA (427 nucleotides) under uncultured bacterium. RNAcentral's name for it is "partial 16S ribosomal RNA". It matches the Rfam family "Bacterial small subunit ribosomal RNA", at positions 354 to 796 of the family's 1533-position model. The record is from RNAcentral.
GUGAGGAAUAUUGCACAAUGGGCGAAAGCCUGAUGCAGCAACGCCGCGUGAGUGAUGAAGGCCUUUGGGUCGUAAAACUCUGUCCUUGGGGAAGAAAAAAAUGACGGUACCCUUGGAGGAAGCCCCGGCUAACUACGUGCCAGCAGCCGCGGUAAUACGUAGGGGGCGAGCGUUAUCCGGAAUUAUUGGGCGUAAAGAGUGCGUAGGUGGUUUUGUAAGCGUAGGGUGAAAGGCAGUAGCUCAACUAUUGUUAGCCCUGCGAACUGUGAGAGUUGAGUGCAGGAGAGGAAAGUGGAAUUCCUGGUGUAGCGGUGAAAUGCGUAGAUAUUAGGAGGAACACCAGUGGCGAAGGCGACUUUCUGGACUGUAACUGACACUGAGGCACGAAAGCGUGGGUAGCAAACAGGAUUAGAAACCCGGGUAGUCC